Molecule: ribosomal RNA, 648 nt
Filed under: Lutjanus lunulatus
Lineage: Eukaryota; Metazoa; Chordata; Actinopteri; Lutjaniformes; Lutjanidae
Description: partial 16S ribosomal RNA
Rfam family: Bacterial large subunit ribosomal RNA
Source: RNAcentral
UGGAGACCUGUAUGAAUGGCAUAACGAGGGCUUAGCUGUCUCCUUUUUCAAGUCAAUGAAAUUGAUCUCCCCGUGCAGAAGCGGGGAUACGAACAUAAGACGAGAAGACCCUAUGGAGCUUUAGACACCAAGGCAGACCAUGUUAAACACCCCAAAAUAACGGGCCAAACCAAAUGAGCCCUGCCCUAAUGUCUUUGGUUGGGGCGACCGCGGGGAAACACAAAACCCCCAUGUGGAACGAGAACACUCCCUCUCACAACCAAGAGCUUCCGCUCUAAUAAACAGAAAUUCUGACCAUCAAGAUCCGGCUAAAGCCGAUCAACGGACCGAGUUACCCUAGGGAUAACAGCGCAAUCCCCUUUUAGAGGCCAUAUCGACAAGGGGGUUUACGACCUCGAUGUUGGAUCAGGACAUCCUAAUGGUGCAGCCGCUAUUAAGGGUUCGUUUGUUCAACGAUUAAAGUCCAACGUGAUCUGAGUUCAGACCGGAGUAAUCCAGGUCAGUUUCUAUCUAUGAAAUGAUCUUUUCUAGUACGAAAAGGACCGAAAAGAAAAGGCUCCCUGCCACAAGCACGCCUUACCCCCACCUAAUGAAAAACAAAUAAAAUAGGCAAAAGGGCAUAACCCCUCAUGCCUUAGAGAACGGCAU